CCUACGGGUGGCAGCAGUGGGGAAUAUUGCACAAUGGGGGGAACCCUGAUGCAGCGACGCCGCGUGAGUGAAGAAGUAUUUCGGUAUGUAAAGCUCUAUCAGCAGGGAAGAAAAUGACGGUACCUGAAUAAGAAGCCCCGGCUAACUACGUGCCAGCAGCCGCGGUAAUACGUAGGGGGCAAGCGUUAUCCGGAUUUACUGGGUGUAAGGGGAGCGCAGACGGCUGUGCAAGUCUGGAGUGAAAGGUGGGGGCCCAACCCCCGGACUGCUCUGGACACUGUAAAGCUGGAGUGCAGGAGAGGUAAGCGGAAUUCCUAGUGUAGCGGUGAAAUGCGUAGAUAUUAGGAGGAACACCAGUGGCGAAGGCGGCUUACUGAACUGCAACUGACGUUGAGGCUCGAAAGCGUGGGGAGCAAACAGGAUUAGAUACCCGUGUAGUC
Molecule: ribosomal RNA, 440 nt
Filed under: uncultured bacterium
Lineage: Bacteria
Description: partial 16S ribosomal RNA
Rfam family: Bacterial small subunit ribosomal RNA
Source: RNAcentral